GAAAAUGACAGGUGUUUUUGAGAAGGCUGGGUUUUUUGGGAAAAAGGCUGUAUUUUUGAAGAAUAGGUAGGAAUUUCUAGGUGAAUAUAUGCCAUCUUUGGGAGAAACCUGGUCUAUCUGGGAAAAAAGGCUAUUUUGAUGGAGGUAAGUGUGAUCUUGAGGAGCGUCAAGUAGAAUUCUUGGGAUGAAACGGGUGGUAUUUCUAAGAGAAGUGGUAUUUCUGGGAGAAAAUGUCUUCUUUUAGGGAGAAACGUUCCUAGAUCGGUGAGAAACCUGUGUUUCUUGAAGAAAAUAUCUUCUUGUGGAUGAAAAAGAUCGUAUCUAUGCAAGAAAGCUGGUAUUUCUGGAGGAAAUGUCCUUGAUUUUUGGUGAAAGAGAUGUUUAGGGGAAUGGAAUAGAGAUUCGGGAUGACAGUGUAACGCCUCUGUGAGCAAGGUGAUAUUACUUAGGGAAAAUGUACCAGAUAUGGGAUGGAAAGAGUAUAUCUGUGAUUAAAUGCCAUAUUUCUGGGAGAAAAGGUCUGAUGUGGGGGGGAGAAGGUGAUGUAUCUGUGAGAAAGCUGGUGUUUCUGGGAGAAAAUGCCAGGUAUUGGUGAGAAAACAGAUGCUAGCGAGGGAAAAGGCUGGUAUUUUGGGAGAAAAUGCCAGGUAUUGGUGAGGAAACAGAUGCUAGAGAGGGAAAAGGCCAUCCCUUUGGGAGAGAAUUGGUAUUUGUGGGAGAAAAUGCCCCAAAUCAGGGAGUAAGUGCCAUCCUGCGGCGUGUCAUGGAGUAGAUUUGGGAGGAAAUUGAGGUGUUUCUAAGAGUAGCGGCACUUCUGGGAGAAAAUGUCCUCAGUGGGAAAGACAAUGUCCUCUUGAGGGAAGAAA
This 866-nucleotide long non-coding RNA is filed under the name Phasianus colchicus (ring-necked pheasant). RNAcentral's name for it is "lncRNA (ENSPCLG00000017262.1)". Lineage: Eukaryota; Metazoa; Chordata; Aves; Galliformes; Phasianidae. The record is from RNAcentral.